UCCUAAGGUUCGGGUUGCGAAGCACUGUUUGCCUUGUCCUUAAUUGCCUGGGACUUGAUGGGACGCUCCUGCGCAGGUGCGGGCCAGGAGAGACCCGCUAGGCAAACUUCCCGUCCUCAGGGCCAAGCCCAACCCAGGGGAGGGACCAGGACACCUGUCCAAAUGGCCACCAUACCAGCCAGGACAAGGAGGCGAGGAACACAUGCUUGGGGAAACCAAAGGAGUGAGCAGAAGAUGGUUUCUUCACACGCACAGAUACCUAUCAAGUGCCAAGUACAUGCCCAACGCUGUCCUAGCUGCGGACGGUAGAGCAGCACACAAAAUCUCUGUCGUCAGGGUGAGAAGCUUAUCUGCUUCUACAAGGCCAAGUCUUCAACAUCCCAUGUGUGCGUUACCCUCGGGGCAGGGCACACUCGGGAAGGACUAAGCACACACCCGGCGCUCAGCAGCCACCUGCGUCUCGGCUGUGGGCUGGACAGCGCGUGUCCACGGAAUGGGGAUGGUGAGGACAAGGUGGGGAUUAGAGCGGAAUGAAAUGAGUGAGGCGCCUACCUUGGGAAAACGAAAACCGUAAGGGAGCACCAAAAACACCGGGAAUACCUCCUCAUCAAGACAAGUUGUAUUAAAAUAGUAUUUCUCUUGAUGACUGAA
Long non-coding RNA from Myotis lucifugus (little brown bat), 651 nucleotides. RefSeq lists it as uncharacterized. Lineage: Eukaryota; Metazoa; Chordata; Mammalia; Chiroptera; Vespertilionidae. The record is from RefSeq and is a predicted model, not a curated record. The transcript is spliced from 3 exons.